RNAcentral lists this long non-coding RNA (942 nucleotides) under Homo sapiens (human). RNAcentral's name for it is "HSALNT0186239". Lineage: Eukaryota; Metazoa; Chordata; Mammalia; Primates; Hominidae. The record is from RNAcentral.
CUUGGCUGCUUCCUCUUGCUUUUCUUUACUGGAAGAAAUUUUGUUACAGCUUUGAUCUCAUUACUUGUUAUAGAUCUGCUCAGGUUUUGGACUUUCUUCAUGGAUCAGUCUUGAGAAAACAGAAAGGAACCCUCAAAGUGUGACUGUAUAUGAUGCAGAAAAAUGGGGAAGUCUGGCUAAGGACUCUGUGAAUUGCAUGAAUAAGUCAUAAAUUGGAGAAGACAGAUUGAAAAAGAAGAACUUACUAAUUUAGAGGUGACUAAAUCCUGAAAGCCGAGUAAAAAUCCACAUGUAUCAAGUAUGCCAGGACAAGUACUGAAGGCAAAACAAUGUAAAAGGACAGUGCCUUACUCUGGGAGAGUCAGUGAUGCAAACUGCUUCUGAAGUUGGCUGUGAAGUUUUGAAAACUGCUCAAAUGAUUUUUCUGUCAGGCUUGUUUCGUUGUUGCUGUGUGUCACCUGGAUCAGAUACAGCUGCAGAAAGUAAAUAGAUAGAAAUCAAAAGAUGGCAAUAUCAGCCUGUGAUACACUCUAAAACCCGAUUUUAUGUAAACCAAACAAAGGAAGUACCUUUCUGCAAAACAUUAUCAUAAAAGCUAGGAGAUGCAUUUUGUAAAGGCAAAAUUAAAUAUAAAUAAUAUCUAAGAGUAUCACAAUUGUAUGUGCUAGGAACAGAUUGCCUAAUUUUUGCUGUUCUUGUGGACAUUUUAAUUAGUUCUUGAUUUAUACUCUACCACAGGGCAGGAAUUGUUCUCUUUGAUGGUUCUCUACUCAUAGUCUUGUUGUUAUGAUUUUUCCUUGGAACAUCCUCUUAAUGACACUUCUGCUUAAAUUGUAAAUUAUUUUUCAUUUGCUUAGUAAAAAAUUAUGCUAUAAGAAAGGCUGUGUAGCAUAGUGAAGAGAAGUCUGAGAUAAAGUCAAGUGAUACGUAAGUCAAGAUGAC